AGUGAACGCUGGCGGUAGGCCUAACACAUGCAAGUCGAACGGCAGCACAGUAAGAGCUUGCUCUUACGGGUGGCGAGUGGCGGACGGGUGAGGAAUACAUCGGAAUCUACUUUUUCGUGGGGGAUAACGUAGGGAAACUUACGCUAAUACCGCAUACGACCUACGGGUGAAAGCAGGGGAUCUUCGGACCUUGCGCGUUUCAAUGAGCCGAUGUCGGAUUAGCUAGUUGGCGGGGUAAAGGCCCACCAAGGCGACGAUCCGUAGCUGGUCUGAGAGGAUGAGCAGCCACACUGGAACUGAGACACGGUCCAGACUCCUACGGGAGGCAGCAGUGGGGAAUAUUGGACAAUGGGCGCAAGCCUGAUCCAGCCAUACCGCGUGGGUGAAGAAGGCCUUCGGGUUGUAAAGCCCUUUUGUUGGGAAAGAAAAGCAGCAGGUUAAUACCCCGCUGUUCUGACGGUACCCAAAGAAUAAGCACCGGCUAACUUCGUG
RNAcentral lists this ribosomal RNA (492 nucleotides) under uncultured bacterium. Its description in RNAcentral is "partial 16S ribosomal RNA". It matches the Rfam family "Bacterial small subunit ribosomal RNA", at positions 29 to 507 of the family's 1533-position model. The record is from RNAcentral.